CUAACACAUGCAGUCGAGCGAGAAGUUGGAAGUGAAGAUUCGAUUGGAACGGAAAAUGGAAAGCGGCAGACGGGUGAGUAACGCGUGAAUAAUCAACCCUGCACAAAGGGAUAGCCUCGGGAAACCGGGAUUAAUACCAUAUGAAGUAUAUUAAUCGAAUGAUAGAUAUAUUAAAGUUUUUAACGGUGCAGGACGAGUUCGCGUCCCAUUAGCUAGUUGGUGAGAUAACAGCUUACCAAGGCGACGAUGGGUAGCCGGUCUGAGAGGGUGAACGGCCACACUGGAACUGAGACACGGUCCAGACUCCUACGGGAGGCAGCAGUGGGGAAUAUUGCACAAUGGAGGAAACUCUGAUGCAGCGACGCCGCGUGAGCGAAGAAGGCUUUCGAGUCGUAAAGCUCUGUCCUAAGAGAAGAAGAAGUGACGGUAUCUUAGGAGGAAGCCCCGGCUAACUACGUGCCAGCAGCCGCGGUAAUACGUAGGGGGCUAGCGUUGUCCGGAAUUACUGGGCGUAAAGGGUGAGUAGGUGGUCAUUAAAGUCAGAUGUAAAAGGCAAUGGCUCAACCAUUGUAAGCAUAUGAAACUUAAUGACUUGAGUGCAGGAGAGGUAAAUGGAAUUCCUAGUGUAGCGGUGAAAUGCGUAGAUAUUAGGAAGAACACCAGUGGCGAAGGCGAUUUACUGGACUGUAACUGACACUGAGUCACGAAAGCGUGGGGAGCAACCAGGAUUAGAUACCCUGGUAGUCCACGCUGUAAACGAUGAGUGCUAGGUGUCGGCCAGAGAUUGUCGGUGCCGAAGUUAACGCAUUAAGCA
This 814-nucleotide ribosomal RNA is filed under the name uncultured organism. RNAcentral describes it as "bacterial SSU rRNA". It matches the Rfam family "Bacterial small subunit ribosomal RNA", at positions 48 to 866 of the family's 1533-position model. The record is from RNAcentral.